GCCGUGGGGCCAACCCUGCAGGCUUGUCUCAGACCGAGGAGGGCACGCAUCCUCUCGCUAAGCUCUGCCCCGAGACGUGCACCCUCCUGUCACCUGAGGGAGCAGGGGGGUGGACUGGGACUUGCACUGUUCUCUCCCAGAAUGCAUGAGGGCCUGGGAGGGACCAGGCCUAAAGCCGCUCCCUUCCUCCAGCAGCCUCUGGAAGUCCCUCAUCCUGAGCUCAGAAGAGGCAGGAUGGAGUUUUCAAAAGGAAUGUUCUAAGCUGACAAGAGGAAAAAAAUGAACAAAAUCAAACCCAAAGUUGUAUUUCCUUAUUGGCCUGAUUAUCCCAAUCUGCCUGCCCUCUCCAGCGCCUGCUGUGCCUCCCCUGCACCCCAAGAGCACCUGCCUGCUCGGAUUCCUCUCAUGGUGCCCCCAGAAAGCCUGAGCCCAGCCUGCCUCAGCCCCGAUGCCGCAGCAGCCAGCCCCCAGGGGCCCUCCGAGACCUCCGCUGACCCCGUGCGUCGCCCUGGCUCCUGGCUGCCCAUCCCAUCCCCUGGCCCUCCCCCGUCUUCGCCAAAUCACUGCAGUCCGCUGUCCUCCGUGGAAGUCAACCCCUCACAGGCCAGCACGUAGACGCCUGUGCGGGCCGUGCACCUGGCCUACCUCGGCCUGUUCGGCAGGACACAGGACCUCUCCCUGACUCGGACACUGAGGAGACGGCCAAGGAGCAUCCCUGGCACCCAGCCCAGGCUCCGCUGGACCUCAGGCUCUGUCUCUUGGUUGUUUGAGGUCCAAAGGCCCUGAAAAGACGGACGUGACAUGCCCUCCUUACAGGCCACGCAGAAGCCCGUCAGGCAUCUCUACCCAGCUUCUGAAGACACCUGUCGUUAGCAGGGCCAGGCUGCUGUCCGAGACCAGAAGAAGCGUCACUGGGUGAUGCCCUAGGGUGUCACUGUGAUCACGGAGGAACCAAGCACAGGAAAUCACUCCAACCAGCCUGACAAGGUGUCAAGGACCGUCAUGGGUCUUGGUGGCACACAGCUCCUCGGAGAUUCCCCUUCCUAACGUCCCGGAGAAAGCCCACGGUCGUGGUCGUGCCGCCGGGAGCUGCGCUACGAGACACCAACACAGCAAAGUUACCGUCGAGGGGAAAGACAAACAUGCAGCAGGAGCCUUGGAAGGUGUCCUGCGGGCGCACUGCCCCCCGAAGCUCCUGUUCCUCAGACACUGGGAACAGGAGGAGACGUGCGUGCUCCCGCAGCCACGCACCCAGUGCUGGGGGCCUGGGGGUAGAAAACGGAGGGCACACGCAUGCUGCUCCACAGCCCUCCCGGGGCCCGAACGGGGCUGGAACACUCGGGAAGAAAAGCGCGGUGAUGUGCUGACAUGAUCCAAGUGGAGAGCUAACACACAUAAAAUGGCGUCCCUUUUUUUUAAAUCUUUUUUUUUUUUUUUUUCAUUUUAAAUCAUUUAAG
Molecule: long non-coding RNA, 1457 nt
Organism: Canis lupus familiaris (dog)
Lineage: Eukaryota; Metazoa; Chordata; Mammalia; Carnivora; Canidae
Exons: 4
Source: RefSeq, a predicted model, not a curated record